Mycena rebaudengoi is the source of this 96-nucleotide non-coding RNA. NCBI's taxonomy places the organism in Eukaryota, Fungi, Basidiomycota, Agaricomycetes, Agaricales, Mycenaceae. The record is from the annotation of a GenBank genome assembly.
GGCAGGGAGGCGCAGGGUGCGCGUCGGCUUCUCAUAAAUGACUCUGAGACACGAAGUUAAAGCCGAACAUCCCCUGUUCGACUCGGGGUCCUGCCA